CGCCCUCUAGAGUAUUCGAAACCCUAACUACUGGGUAGAAACCAGUCAUGAUAUCCAUUUCACCAAAAGGGC
This 72-nucleotide transfer RNA is filed under the name Bacillus phage PBC2. Its description in RNAcentral is "tRNA-Arg". Lineage: Duplodnaviria; Heunggongvirae; Uroviricota; Caudoviricetes. The record is from RNAcentral.